AGACCGGCUUGCAGCUGGCGAAAGAGGUUCUUUGCUUCCCACACAGUGCCCAGCUCUCUGGUCUCAGGACAGAGCAACUGGCUUUCUGGUACCCUCUUUUCCUCAGUGAGCAAACUUCUAUCUCUCUCUCAACUUCCUGGGCUAAAGGCAGGGAAGGACCCUAGGCUAAUCUCUAACUCCAGCAGCAGUUCUGGGGUCGGCUCUGAGAACAAAGAUAGCUAUGCUUGACAGCUGCCCUGCCCCAGCCAGCUAAGAAAAGCUGGGAAGACCUCCCAGAUAUCUCUAGUUCCCAGCAAAUAUCAGCGGGCAAACAACCAAAGUACAGCUGGGAAUUCCUGAUCUCAGCCAGCUGAACUGUGUUUGGAUCAAAGACAAACUUCAUCAACUCAUGGCCACCUCCAACCUCUCUAUGCACAUUAGGCAAUAGCAGCUGCAGAGAGCUGCCUUGAGGGGAGACCUUGAAGAGGUGGUUGUGCAGGUCUCCAAGGCCCUCCUAGCCCCACCACGCCCACCCUCACUAAGUCCACCCCAACUGCCUACAUCUUCCGAUGCUUGGAACAAGAAAGAGCAGUGCCGAUGAUGAUGGGGCUGGUGAGAUGGCUCAGUGGGUAA
Mus musculus (house mouse) is the source of this 612-nucleotide long non-coding RNA. RefSeq annotates it as predicted gene, 29952. The record is from RefSeq and is a predicted model, not a curated record. Lineage: Eukaryota; Metazoa; Chordata; Mammalia; Rodentia; Muridae. The transcript has 4 exons.